GACGAACGCUGGCGGCGUGCUUAACACAUGCAAGUCGAACGGAAAGGCCCUGCUUUUGUGGGGUGCUCGAGUGGCGAACGGGUGAGUAACACGUGAGUAACCUGCCCUUGACUUUGGGAUAACUUCAGGAAACUGGGGCUAAUACCGGAUAGGAGCUCCUGCUGCAUGGUGGGGGUUGGAAAGUUUCGGCGGUUGGGGAUGGACUCGCGGCUUAUCAGCUUGUUGGUGGGGUAGUGGCUUACCAAGGCUUUGACGGGUAGCCGGCCUGAGAGGGUGACCGGCCACAUUGGGACUGAGAUACGGACCAGACUCCUACGGGAGGCAGCAGUGGGGAAUAUUGCACAAUGGGCGGAAGCCUGAUGCAGCAACGCCGCGUGCGGGAUGACGGCCUUCGGGUUGUAAACCGCUUUCGCCUGUGACGAAGCGUGAGUGACGGUAAUGUGUAAAGAAGCACCGGCUAACUACGUG
RNAcentral lists this ribosomal RNA (468 nucleotides) under uncultured bacterium. Its description in RNAcentral is "partial 16S ribosomal RNA". It matches the Rfam family "Bacterial small subunit ribosomal RNA", at positions 28 to 507 of the family's 1533-position model. The record is from RNAcentral.